Molecule: ribosomal RNA, 461 nt
Filed under: uncultured bacterium
Lineage: Bacteria
Description: partial 16S ribosomal RNA
Rfam family: Bacterial small subunit ribosomal RNA
Source: RNAcentral
CCUACGGGUGGCUGCAGUGAGGAAUAUUGGUCAAUGGGCGGGAGCCUGAACCAGCCAAGUCGCGUGAGGGAAGACGGUCCUAUGGAUUGUAAACCUCUUUAGGCGGGGAGCAAUGCCUGGCACGUGUGCCCGGAGGGAGAGUACCCGCAGACUAAGCAUCGGCUAACUCCGUGCCAGCAGCCGCGGUAAUACGGAGGAUGCGAGCGUUAUCCGGAAUCAUUGGGCGUAAAGAGUUCGUAGGCGGCACGGAAAGUCUGGUGUUAAAGGCAGAGGCUCAACUUCUGUACGGCACUGGAUACUUGAGAGCUAGAAUGCGGGAGAGGUAAAGGGAAUUCCUGGUGUAGCGGUGAAAUGCUUAGAUAUCAGGAGGAACAUCGGUGGCGUAAGCGCUUUACUGGGCCGUAAUUGACGCUGAGGAACGAAAGCCAGGGUAGCAAAUGGGAUUAGAUACCCUGGUAGUC